AAAGUCGUAACAAGGUUUCCGUAGGUGAACCUGCGGAAGGAUCAUUACAAAUCCCCUAAACGUCCCACGAAAAAAACCUUUUUUUGUGUGAGACCACGUUGAUCUGUUCCCGGUCUUGGAGAAGAAGAAGAAGGAGAUAUGAUGAGUCAGUGGCCGGGUGGGAUGGGAUGCGCACGAGAGUGCUUUCCUCCUCCUCCCUCCCCCCAUUCAUUCAUUGUGUCUUCCUCCUCUUUCUCUCUCUGGGGCUUUUUCAUUUAUCAUGAAUGUGAAUCCCUAUAUGUAUGUCACUUGAACACACACAAGGAACAACUUAUAACAAUGGAUCUCUAGGCUCUU
This 336-nucleotide unclassified non-coding RNA is filed under the name Basidiomycota sp. Its description in RNAcentral is "partial contains small subunit ribosomal RNA, internal transcribed spacer 1, and 5.8S ribosomal RNA". The stretch from base 1 to 47 matches the Rfam family "Eukaryotic small subunit ribosomal RNA", at positions 1785 to 1831 of the family's 1831-position model. Lineage: Eukaryota; Fungi; Basidiomycota. The record is from RNAcentral.